CCUACGGGAGGCUGCAGUGGGGGAUAUUGCACAAUGGGGGGAACCCUGAUGCAGCGACGCCGCGUGGGUGAAGGAGUGCUUCGGCAUGUAAAGCCCUAUCGGCAGGGAAGAAGCAAGACGGUACCUGACUAAGAAGCCCCGGCUAACUACGUGCCAGCAGCCGCGGUAAACCGUAGGGGCCGAGCGUUAUCCGGAUUCACUGGGGGGAACGGGAGCGGAGACGGCCAUGCAAGCCAGGGGUGAAAGCCCGGGGCCCAACCCCGGGACUGCCCUUGGAACUGCAUGGCGGGAGUGCGGGAGGGGCAGGCGGAAUUCCUGGUGUAGCGGUGAAAUGCGUAGAUAUCAGGAGGAACACCGGCGGCGAAGGCGGCCUGCUGGACUGCGACUGACGUUGAGGCUCGAAAGCGUGGGGAGCGAACAGGAUUAGAUACCCUAGUAGUC
Molecule: ribosomal RNA, 441 nt
Filed under: uncultured bacterium
Lineage: Bacteria
Description: partial 16S ribosomal RNA
Rfam family: Bacterial small subunit ribosomal RNA
Source: RNAcentral